AAGACCUUGCACUUUUGGAGCGGCCGAUGUCUGAUUAGCUAGUUGGUGGGGUAAUGGCCUACCAAAGCUUCGAUCAGUAGCUGGUCUGAGAGGACGGCCAGCCACACUGGGACUGAGACACGGCCCAGACUCCUACGGGAGGCAGCAGUGGGGAAUUUUGGACAAUGGGCGCAAGCCUGAUCCAGCCAUGCCGCGUGAGUGAGGAAGGCCUUCGGGUUGUAAAGCUCUUUCAGCCGGGAAGAAAAGGUUGCGACUAAUAAUCGCAAUUCAUGACGGUACCGAAAGAAGAAGCACCGGCUAACUACGUGCCAGCAGCCGCGGUAAUACGUAGGGUGCGAGCGUUAAUCGGAAUUACUGGGCGUAAAGCGUGCGCAGGUGGUUUUGUAAGUCAGAUGUGAAAGCCCCGGGCUCAACCUGGGAACU
This 423-nucleotide ribosomal RNA is filed under the name uncultured bacterium. RNAcentral's name for it is "bacterial SSU rRNA". It matches the Rfam family "Bacterial small subunit ribosomal RNA", at positions 207 to 622 of the family's 1533-position model. The record is from RNAcentral.